Lathyrus oleraceus (garden pea) is the source of this 698-nucleotide long non-coding RNA. RefSeq lists it as uncharacterized. NCBI's taxonomy places the organism in Eukaryota, Viridiplantae, Streptophyta, Magnoliopsida, Fabales, Fabaceae. The transcript is spliced from 3 exons. The record is from RefSeq and is a predicted model, not a curated record.
CGGGGAUAUCUAACUAAACAUAGAGAGAAAGAAAAGAAAAAAAAGAAAACGCAAACCUUUGGCAAGUGAGUAGAGAAGGAUGAGGAGGUACACCAGCAGACUCUGAAACGGUGGCCAAAUGCUGACCAUAGAAGGCACUCAAAGACGUGGCUUCUUCUCUCAGUGUAAUAGGAGUGUGAGAUUUUGAUUCCGGUUUUGGGAGAUUUUUCGCUCCUCCUUUCUUCCCCAUGGAUCAAACAAUCAAUCUAUUCGAAUCGAACAGAAUUGAAGUUAGGGUUUAGUUAUCGGAGUUUGUGAUGUUGAAGAUGGCGACGGAGGAUGAUGAAGACGACUACAAGAAGCGGCGGCGAUGUCGGAGGUUUUGGUUCGACUUUGGAACACAGAUACGUUUGAACGUCUUAAUCGAACGUUGUACAGUUGGUUAGAGGGAGAAAUUGGAGAGGGUGAACGGAUUAGAAGAAUACAAUGGCUUGUGUCCACGUUCAACCAAAGCGGAGAAGUGCGUGAAUGGGUGGAUAUUAAAACCGACCAAGACGCUCGUAGGAUGAUGCAGUACAUGUUCAAAAUUGUUUUGAUGGUUGUAAUCGCAUAGUUUUUGUAUUCUAGUUGUUUUAAUUGUUUGUGUUAUUUUUUAUGAACAACUGUCUUUUCGUUAAAGUCGUCUACUAUGAAGUAAAAUUAAUUUUCCAUAUAUUGCA